AGUCGAGCGAGCUGAACAGCAGAUUCACUUCGGUGAUGACGCUGGGAACGCGAGCGGCGGAUGGGUGAGUAACGCGUGGGUAACCUGCCCUAAAGUCUGGGGUACCACUUGGAAACAGGUGCUAAUACCGGAUAACAACAAUAGCUGCAUGGCUAUUGCUUAAAAGGCGGCGAAAGCUGUCGCUAAAGGAUGGACCCGCGGUGCAUUAGCUAGUUGGUAAGGUAAUGGCUUACCAAGGCGACGAUGCAUAGCCGAGUUGAGAGACUGAUCGGCCACAUUGGGACUGAGACACGGCCCAAACUCCUACGGGAGGCAGCAGUAGGGAAUCUUCCACAAUGGGCGAAAGCCUGAUGGAGCAACGCCGCGUGAGUGAAGAAGGUUUUCGGAUCGUAAAGCUCUGUUGUUGGUGAAGAAGGAUAGAGGUAGUAACUGGCCCCUAUUUGACGGUAAUCAACCAGAAAGUCACGGCUAACUACGUGCCAGCAGCCGCGGUAAUACGUAGGUGGCAAGCGUUGUCCGGAUUUAUUGGGCGUAAAGCGAGCGCAGGCGGAAAGAUAAGUCUGAUGUGAAAGCCCCCGGCUUAACCGAGGAAUUGCAUCGGAAACUGUGUUUCUUGAGUGCAGAAGAGGAGAGUGGAACUCCAUGUGUAGCGGUGGAAUGCGUAGAUAUAUGGAAGAACACCAGUGGCGAAGGCGGCUCUCUGGUCUGUAACUGACGCUGAGGCUCGAAAGCAUGGGUAGCGAACAGGAUUAGAUACCCUGGUAGUCCAUGCC
RNAcentral lists this ribosomal RNA (773 nucleotides) under uncultured bacterium. Its description in RNAcentral is "bacterial SSU rRNA". It matches the Rfam family "Bacterial small subunit ribosomal RNA", at positions 60 to 801 of the family's 1533-position model. The record is from RNAcentral.